AUCAAAUCAGGGACCAAACCAUCUCGACGAUUAGGUCAACUCUUAACCUAAUCGGGUCAAACCCAACUGAAUCCAAUUCAAUUGGACUUGAUCCAAAAUUAAUUACUCAAUCAAAUUGAGUUAAUUAGUGAUCAAAUCACUAAUUAAAUCUCUCAUAAAUAUUGAGUCUAAAUCCGAUGGGUAAUCAGACAUCAGAAUUCAUCGAUAUGUAAUCCUGAUCGAAGAGUCCUAAACUAGUGGGACUCUUGACCCCGGUACCCAAAAUAUGUGAAACUCGUGAUCAGAGAAUCCUGAUUCUCAAUCACUAAGUCCCAAACAUGUAAGAUUCUACAUCAGCCAUCAGAUCAGAUAGGAACCUCUAAUAUGUGUGACUCCGCAGGUUCGAACCUAAGCUGGUAGCACAGGAACUAAUUCCUAUACUAAUCGAAGUGACCAUCUAGCAAUGGUACCCGACAUCCGG
This 460-nucleotide long non-coding RNA is filed under the name Elaeis guineensis (African oil palm). RNAcentral describes it as "long non-coding RNA (EGUI_LNC045076)". Lineage: Eukaryota; Viridiplantae; Streptophyta; Magnoliopsida; Arecales; Arecaceae. The record is from RNAcentral.